AUCCCUUCUUCAGCCUUUUGACUGCAAUCAAGUGGAGUUUCUAUUCUUACCACUUUAAUAUCUGAUACACCCUUCAUCUGAAGAAAAUAGAAUGAUAUAUUGAGUGAAAUUUUGGAGGAAGGUGAAAUAGAAACCUAUUCUACACCACACAUUGAUCUGGAAUUACAGCAUUGUUAGGAAAUACACAGCCCUU
This 193-nucleotide small nuclear RNA is filed under the name Dipodomys ordii (Ord's kangaroo rat). RNAcentral describes it as "U2 spliceosomal RNA". It matches the Rfam family "U2 spliceosomal RNA". Rfam says of the family: U2 is a small nuclear RNA (snRNA) component of the spliceosome (involved in pre-mRNA splicing). Complementary binding between U2 snRNA (in an area lying towards the 5' end but 3' to hairpin I) and the branchpoint sequence (BPS) of the intron results the bulging out of an unpaired adenosine, on the BPS, which initiates a nucleophilic attack at the intronic 5' splice site, thus starting the first of two transesterification reactions that mediate splicing. The record is from Rfam by way of RNAcentral. Lineage: Eukaryota; Metazoa; Chordata; Mammalia; Rodentia; Heteromyidae.